UAUGAAAGGGUUAACGAGGAAGGCGCUGUGUCUAAAAACUUAGUUUAAACUAACUUAAAGGUGAAGAGGCCUUUAUAAGAAAGAAGGACGACAAGACCCUAUGAAGCUUUAUCUUAUUAGGGAUUUGAAAGAUCCUUAUACGAUUUUGAUGGGAGAUCAGUAAAAAUAAGUCUUUUACCAUUAUUUUUAUCUUACAAGUGUUUCCUAAUUUUAUAUGUGUGACUAGCUACUCUAGGGAUAACAGCGCAAUUUCUCCCGAAAGAUGGUAUUGGAGGGGAAGAUUGCGACCUCGAUGUUGGC
This 300-nucleotide ribosomal RNA is filed under the name Mytilus coruscus. RNAcentral describes it as "partial 16S ribosomal RNA". It matches the Rfam family "Bacterial large subunit ribosomal RNA", at positions 1991 to 2536 of the family's 2925-position model. The record is from RNAcentral. Lineage: Eukaryota; Metazoa; Mollusca; Bivalvia; Mytilida; Mytilidae.